This 402-nucleotide ribosomal RNA is filed under the name uncultured bacterium. RNAcentral's name for it is "bacterial SSU rRNA". It matches the Rfam family "Bacterial small subunit ribosomal RNA", at positions 355 to 774 of the family's 1533-position model. The record is from RNAcentral.
UGGGGAAUAUUGGACAAUGGGGGAAACCCUGAUCCAGCGACGCCGCGUGAGUGAAGAAGUAUUUCGGUAUGUAAAGCUCUAUCAGCAGGGAAGAUGAUGACGGUACCUGACUAAGAAGCACCGGCUAAAUACGUGCCAGCAGCCGCGGUAAUACGUAUGGUGCAAGCGUUAUCCGGAUUUACUGGGUGUAAAGGGAGUGUAGGUGGCGUGGCAAGUCAGAUGUGAAAGCCCGGGGCUCAACCCCGGGACUGCAUUUGAAACUGUCAUACUGGAGUGCAGGAGAGGAAAGGGGAAUUCCUAGUGUAGCGGUGAAAUGCGUAGAUAUUAGGAGGAACACCAGUGGCGAAGGCGGCUUUCUGGACUGUUACUGACACUGAGGCUCGAAAGCUAGGGGAGCAAACA